UACGUAGGAGGCGAGCGUUGUCCGGAAUCACUGGGCGUAAAGCGCGUGUAGGCGGGAAGGCAAGUCUGCUGUGAAAGCGCCUGGCUUAACCGGGCGAGGUCGGCGGAAACUGCUUACCUGGAGGACGGUAGAGGGGGGUGGAAUUCCCGGUGUAGUGGUGAAAUGCGUAGAGAUCGGGAGGAACACCUGUGGCGAAGGCGGCAUCCUGGACCGGCAUUGACGCUGAGUGAGCGAAAGCCAGGGGAGCAAACGGG
RNAcentral lists this ribosomal RNA (254 nucleotides) under uncultured bacterium. Its description in RNAcentral is "partial 16S ribosomal RNA". It matches the Rfam family "Bacterial small subunit ribosomal RNA", at positions 524 to 776 of the family's 1533-position model. The record is from RNAcentral.